RNAcentral lists this ribosomal RNA (1782 nucleotides) under Fischerella thermalis CCMEE 5319. Its description in RNAcentral is "bacterial LSU rRNA". It matches the Rfam family "Bacterial large subunit ribosomal RNA", at positions 1 to 1881 of the family's 2925-position model. Lineage: Bacteria; Bacillati; Cyanobacteriota; Cyanophyceae; Nostocales; Hapalosiphonaceae. The record is from RNAcentral.
GUGGUCAAGCUAAUAAGGGCUUGCGGAGGAUACCUAGGCACACAGAGGCGAAGAAGGACGUGGCUACCAACGAAAAGCUCCGGGGAGUUGGAAGCAAGCAUUGAGCCGGAGAUGUCCGAAUGGGGGAACCCUAAAAACUGCCUAUUGAAUAUAUAGAUAGGUAAGAGCGAACCGGGCGAACUGAAACAUCUUAGUAGCCCGAGGAAAAGAAAUCAAACGAGAUUCUCCAAGUAGUGGUGAGCGAACGGGGAAGAGCCUAAACCAACAAGCUUGCUUGUUGGGGUAGUGGGACAGCAAAAAGCGAAUCGUAGAGUUAGACGAAGCAUUGAAAAGAUGCACCAGAGAAAGUGAAAGUCUUGUAGUCGAAAACUUGAAGAUAGCAGCUGAAUCCCGAGUAGCAUGGGGCACGUGAAAUCCCAUGUGAAUCAGUCUCGACCACGAGAUAAGGCUAAAUACUCCUGUGUGACCGAUAGCGAAACAGUACCGCGAGGGAAAGGUGAAAAGAACCCCAACAAGGGGAGUGAAAAAGAACAUGAAACCGCAAGCCCACAAGCAGUGGGAGGACGAUUAAACGUCUGACCGCGUGCCUGUUGAAGAAUGAGCCGGCGAGUUAUAAGCACUGGUGGGUUAAGUGAAUUGCACGAAGCCAAAGCGAAAGCGAGUCUGAAGAGGGCGAAAUCAGUGUUUAUAGACCCGAACCCUGGUGAUCUAACCAUGACCAGGAUGAAGCUUGGGUAACACCAAGUGGAGGUCCGCACCGACCGAUGUUGAAAAAUCGGCGGAUGAGUUGUGGUUAGGGGUGAAAUGCCAAUCGAACCAGGAGCUAGCUGGUUCUCCCCGAAAUGUGUUGAGGCGCAGCGGUUGUGAAGAACUCGGGGGGUAAAGCACUAUUUCGGUGCGGGCUGCGAGAGCGGUACCAAAUCGAGAUAAACUCUGAAUACCCGAAGAAAACACAGCCAGUGAGACGGUGGGGGAUAAGCUUCAUCGUCAAGAGGGAAACAGCCCAGACCACCAGCUAAGGUCCCCAAAUCAUCGCUAAGUGGCAAAGGAGGUGGGAGUGCAUAGACAACCAGGAGGUUUGCCUAGAAGCAGCCACCCUUGAAAGAGUGCGUAAUAGCUCACUGGUCAAGCGCUCCUGCGCCGAAAAUGAAUGGGACUAAGCGAUGUACCGAAGCUGUGGGAUUACAUUUGUUUGUAAUCGGUAGGGGAGCGUUCUAUAUGGGAAGAAGCACUAGCGGCAAGCAGGUGUGGACUGUAUAGAAGUGAGAAUGUCGGCUUGAGUAGCGCAAACAUUGGUGAGAAUCCAAUGCCCCGAAACCCCAAGGGUUCCAGAGCCAGGUUCGUCCACUCUGGGUUAGUCGGGACCUAAGGCGAGGUCGAACGGCGUAGUCGAUGGACACAGGGUCAACAAUCCCUGACUAAAGUAUGGGAGCAUUGCUAGGGACGCAUGAGUGGGGGCUACACCCUGACUGGAUUGGGAGGAGUUUACGAACUCCGCGUAGUCGAAAUGAGUGCCAAGAAAAGCUAGUAAUGUGUUGAGCAUACUUUACCCGUACCCGAAACCGACACAGGUGGGGAGGUUGAGAAUACCAAGGGGCGCGAGAUAACUCUCUCUAAGGAACUCGGCAAAAUGGCCCCGUAACUUCGGAAGAAGGGGUGCCCACCUUCACAGGUGGGUCGCAGUGAAGAGAUCCAGGCGACUGUUUACCAAAAACACAGGUCUCCGCAAACUCGUAAGAGCAUGUAUGGGGGCUGACGCCUGCCCAGUGCCGGAAGGUUAAG